Molecule: ribosomal RNA, 654 nt
Filed under: uncultured fungus
Lineage: Eukaryota; Fungi
Description: eukaryotic LSU rRNA
Rfam family: 5.8S ribosomal RNA (bases 229-383)
Source: RNAcentral
AGUAAAAGUCGUAACAAGGUUUCCGUAGGUGAACCUGCGGAAGGAUCAUUAUUGAUAAUGAAAAUGGGUUGCGCUGGCUUCUCCGGAGGCAUGUGCUCGCCUGACUUCAAUAUCUCCCAUACACCUGUGCACUUGCUGUAGGCCUUUGGCCUAUGUAUUCCAUAUACUCUUGUAUGUCUUAGAAUGUAAUACCUAGAUUAUUGCCGUAAAAAAGCAAUAUGAAUAUACAACUUUCAACAACGGAUCUCUUGGCUCUCGCAUCGAUGAAGAACGCAGCGAAAUGCGAUAAGUAAUGUGAAUUGCAGAUUUUCAGUGAAUCAUCGAAUCUUUGAACGCACCUUGCGCUCUUUGGUAUUCCGAAGAGCAUGCCUGUUUGAGUGUCAUUAAAUUCUCAACUCUACUAGAUUUGAUUCUAGUCUUAGAGCUUGGAUUUGGAGUGUGCUGAUGACUUUUUAUAAAAGACAUUGGCUCCUUCUCAAAUGUAUUAGCGGAACCCUUUGCAUCUGCAGAAACGGUGUGAUAAUUGUUACGCCGCGUUAAGCAUUUGUGGGAUCAGCUUCUAACCGUCCUCCCUGGGACAAACUACUUUGAACCUUUUGACCUCAAAUCAGGUAGGACUACCCGCUGAACUUAAGCAUAUCAAUAAGCGGAGGA